AACGAACGCUGGCGGCAUGCCUAACACAUGCAAGUCGAACGAGACCUUCGGGUCUUGUUGCGCACGUGUGCGUAACGCGUGGUAACCUGCCCUUAGGUUCGGAGUAACUCAGAGUAAUUUGAGUUAAUACCGCAUGAUGUCUUCGGACCAAAGAUUUUUCGCCUUUGGAUGGGCCCGCGUUGGAUUAGCUAGUUGGUGGGGUAAAAGCAUGCCAAGGAGACGUUCCAUAGCUGGUCUGAGAGCAUGAUACGCCACAAUGGAACUGAGACACGGCCCAGAAUCCUACGGAAGGCAGCAGUGGGGAAUAUUGGAGAAUGGGGGAAAGCCUAAUCAAGCAACGCCGGGUGAGUGGUGAAGGCGUUAGGGUUGUAAAGCUCUUUUACACGAGAUGAUAAUGACGGUAUCGGGUGAAUAAGCACCGGCUAACUACGUG
RNAcentral lists this ribosomal RNA (433 nucleotides) under uncultured bacterium. Its description in RNAcentral is "partial 16S ribosomal RNA". It matches the Rfam family "Bacterial small subunit ribosomal RNA", at positions 29 to 507 of the family's 1533-position model. The record is from RNAcentral.